RNAcentral lists this ribosomal RNA (497 nucleotides) under uncultured bacterium. Its description in RNAcentral is "partial 16S ribosomal RNA". It matches the Rfam family "Bacterial small subunit ribosomal RNA", at positions 28 to 507 of the family's 1533-position model. The record is from RNAcentral.
GAUGAACGCUGGCGGCGUGCCUAAUACAUGCAAGUCGAGCGAACAGACGAGGAGCUUGCUCCUCUGACGUUAGCGGCGGACGGGUGAGUAACACGUGGAUAACCUACCUAUAAGACUGGGAUAACUUCGGGAAACCGGAGCUAAUACCGGAUAAUAUAUUGAACCGCAUGGUUCAAUAGUGAAAGACGGUUUUGCUGUCACUUAUAGAUGGAUCCGGGCCUCAUUAGCUAGUUGGGAAGGUAACGGCUUACCAAGGCAACGAUGAGUAGCCGACCUGAGAGGGUGACCGGCCACUCUGGAACUGAGACACGGUCCAAAUUCCUAGGGGGGGCAGCGUAAGGGAAUCUUCCGCAAUGGGCGAAAGCCUGACGGGGCAACGCCGCGUGGUUGAUGAAGUUCUUCGGAUCUUAAACCUCUGUUAUUAGGGAAGAACAAAUGUGUAAGUAACUAUGCACGUCUUGACGGUACCUAAUCAGAAAGCCACGGCUAACUACGUG